GGAGGAAAAGAAACCAACAGGGAUUGCCCUAGUAACGGCGAGUGAAGCGGCAACAGCUCAAAUUUGAAAGCUGGCUCCGGCCCGCAUUGUAAUUUGCAGAGGAUGCUUCUGGUGAGGUGCCUUCCGAGUUCCCUGGAACGGGACGCCAUAGAGGGUGAGAGCCCCGUAUGGAUGGACACCAAACCUGUGUGAAGCUCCUUCAACGAGUCGAGUAGUUUGGGAAUGCUGCUCUAAAUGGGAGGUAAAUCUCUUCUAAAGCUAAAUACCGGCCAGAGACCGAUAGCGCACAAGUAGAGUGAUCGAAAGAUGAAAAGCACCUUGAAAAGGGGGUUAAACAGUACGUGAAAUUGUUGAAAGGGAAGCGCUUGUGACCAGACUUGCGCCGGGCAGCUCAUCAGGGGUUCUCCCCUGUGCACUCUGCCCGGCUCAGGCCAGCAUCGGUUCUCGUGGGAGGAUAAGAACGGUUGGAACGUGGCCCCCCUCCGGGGGGGUGUUAUAGCCUACCGUACGAUACUCCCGUGGGGACCGAGGUUCGCGCUCCGCAAGGAUGCUGGCGUAAUGGUCAUCAGCGACCC
Molecule: ribosomal RNA, 575 nt
Filed under: Cytospora salicicola
Lineage: Eukaryota; Fungi; Ascomycota; Sordariomycetes; Diaporthales; Cytosporaceae
Description: eukaryotic LSU rRNA
Rfam family: Eukaryotic large subunit ribosomal RNA
Source: RNAcentral